GAGUUUGAUCCUGGCUCAGGACGAACGCUGGCGGCGUGCCUAACACAUGCAAGUCGAACGGACGAAGGAGCUUCGGCUCCCUAGUUAGUGGCGAACGGGUGAGUAACGCGUGAGCAACCUGCCUUUCAGAGGGGGACAACAGCUGGAAACGGCUGCUAAUACCGCAUAACAUGAUUUAGCCGCAUGACUGGAUCAUCAAAGAUUUAUCGCUGAAAGAUGGGCUCGCGUCUGAUUAGCUAGUUGGUGAGGUAAAGGCCCACCAAGGCGACGAUCAGUAGCCGGACUGAGAGGUUGAACGGCCACAUUGGGACUGAGACACGGCCCAGACUCCUACGGGAGGCAGCAGUGGGGGAUAUUGCACAAUGGGGGAAACCCUGAUGCAGCGACGCCGCGUGGAGGAAGAAGGUUUUCGGAUUGUAAACUCCUGUUGUUGAGGAAGAUAAUGACGGUACCUGACUAAGAAGCCCCGGCUAACUACGUGCCAGCAGCCGCGGUAAUAC
Molecule: ribosomal RNA, 500 nt
Filed under: uncultured bacterium
Lineage: Bacteria
Description: bacterial SSU rRNA
Rfam family: Bacterial small subunit ribosomal RNA
Source: RNAcentral